This 483-nucleotide ribosomal RNA is filed under the name uncultured bacterium. RNAcentral describes it as "partial 16S ribosomal RNA". It matches the Rfam family "Bacterial small subunit ribosomal RNA", at positions 30 to 507 of the family's 1533-position model. The record is from RNAcentral.
UUGAACGCUGGCGGCAGGCCUAACGCAUGCAAGUCGAGCGGAUGAAGGGAGCUUGCUCCUGGAUUCAGCGGCGGACGGGUGAGUAAUGCCUAGGAAUCUGCCUGGUAGUGGGGGAUAACGUCCGGAAACGGGCGCUAAUACCGCAUACGUCCUGAGGGAGAAAGUGGGGGAUCUUCGGACCUCACGCUAUCAGAUGAGCCUAGGUCGGAUUAGCUAGUUGGUGGGGUAAAGGCCUACCAAGGCGACGAUCCGUAACUGGUCUGAGAGGAUGAUCAGUCACACUGGAACUGAGACACGGUCCAGACUCCUACGGGAGGCAGCAGUGGGGAAUUUUGGACAAUGGGCGAAAGCCUGAUCCAGCCAUGCCGCGUGUGUGAAGAAGGUCUUCGGAUUGUAAAGCACUUUAAGUUGGGAGGAAGGGCAGUAAGUUAAUACCUUGCUGUUUUGACGUUACCAACAGAAUAAGCACCGGCUAACUUCGUG